CAAUAGAUGUAAUAUUCAGGUACUCUAUAGCGUCGGCAGAAUUGGCGCUGAGUGUAAAAAGGGAACUUCGUGCAAAUCGAAGACGGGCCCGCCGCUGUAACCGGUGACGAUUUCUGAACAAAUGCCACUGUCCGAAUGGGAUGGGAAGGCUCAGGAAAAGGAUGACCCGGGAGUCAGAAGACCUGCCUGAACUAUUGGUCAAGA
This 204-nucleotide non-coding RNA is filed under the name Desulfopila aestuarii. Lineage: Bacteria; Pseudomonadati; Thermodesulfobacteriota; Desulfobulbia; Desulfobulbales; Desulfocapsaceae. The record is from RNAcentral.